RNAcentral lists this ribosomal RNA (247 nucleotides) under uncultured bacterium. Its description in RNAcentral is "partial 16S ribosomal RNA". It matches the Rfam family "Bacterial small subunit ribosomal RNA", at positions 528 to 776 of the family's 1533-position model. The record is from RNAcentral.
GGGGGGGCAAGUGUUCUUCGGAAUGACUGGGCGUCAAGGGCACGUAGGCGGUGAAUCGGGUUGAAAGUGAAAGUCGCCAAAAAGUGGCGGAAUGCUCUCGAAACCAAUUCACUUGAGUGGGACAGAGGAGAGUGGAAUUUCAUGUGUAGGGGUGAAAUCCGUAGAUCUACGAAGGAAGGCCAAAAGCGAAGGCAGCCCUCUGGGUCCCUACCGACGCUGGGGUGCGAAAGCAUGGGGAGCGAACAGG